This is a non-coding RNA of Ictidomys tridecemlineatus (thirteen-lined ground squirrel), 69 nucleotides long. The record is from Rfam. Lineage: Eukaryota; Metazoa; Chordata; Mammalia; Rodentia; Sciuridae.
GGGUUUGUGGCUCAGUGGUAGAGCACUUGCCUAACAUGCAUGAGGCAUUGAAUUUGAUCUUCAGCACCA